Molecule: small RNA, 83 nt
Filed under: Candidatus Pelagibacter sp. HTCC7211
Lineage: Bacteria; Pseudomonadati; Pseudomonadota; Alphaproteobacteria; Candidatus Pelagibacterales; Candidatus Pelagibacteraceae
Description: rhtB sRNA
Rfam family: rhtB sRNA
Source: Rfam by way of RNAcentral
GAGUGAUAUUAUGUAUUUGAUAGUCCUUCUUAGCCAUCUUUAGCUCCCGGUUUUUAAGGACUAUCCACGCAUACUUAAAAUGU